Molecule: unclassified non-coding RNA, 332 nt
Filed under: Hevea brasiliensis (rubber tree)
Lineage: Eukaryota; Viridiplantae; Streptophyta; Magnoliopsida; Malpighiales; Euphorbiaceae
Source: RNAcentral
UGAAAAGUACCUCCACAAAUCUAAUCAUUAGAUAAAAUGGGGCAAUUUUUAUUAAUUUAUAAACGAAAGAUGCAUAAAAAGAAGCAUAUGUUUGGGCAGCACUAGGCUUCUCAUAUGGGGAACCCAAAGGAGCCAUAAAAUAAAUUCAAAAUGACCAAUGAAAACAAAGAAAAGAAGACAAGAUCAAUGAGCUCAGUCAUUUUCAGAGCCUUAUGUUUUCUUGAAGUCGAGUUCCAGACAGAAUUAAUUGAAAAAAAAAAGGGGGAAAGGGUGAAGUGAUCUAAGGGCAUUUGGGUCCUCCAUGCUUAGUCUUCCAGUUGUUGUAGCAGGGG